GGCUACGUAGUCUCAGUUGGUUAGAGCACAUCACUCAUAAUGAUGGGGUCACAGGUUCGAAUCCCGUCGUAGCCACCA
This 78-nucleotide transfer RNA is filed under the name Escherichia coli O111:H11 str. CVM9545. RNAcentral's name for it is "tRNA-Met". It matches the Rfam family "tRNA". From Rfam's summary of the family: Transfer RNA (tRNA) molecules are approximately 80 nucleotides in length. Their secondary structure includes four short double-helical elements and three loops (D, anti-codon, and T loops). The record is from RNAcentral. Lineage: Bacteria; Pseudomonadati; Pseudomonadota; Gammaproteobacteria; Enterobacterales; Enterobacteriaceae.